Molecule: ribosomal RNA, 405 nt
Filed under: uncultured Bdellovibrio sp.
Lineage: Bacteria; Pseudomonadati; Bdellovibrionota; Bdellovibrionia; Bdellovibrionales; Pseudobdellovibrionaceae
Description: partial 16S ribosomal RNA
Rfam family: Bacterial small subunit ribosomal RNA
Source: RNAcentral
UAGGGAAUAUUGCACAAUGGGGGAAACCCUGAUGCAGCGACGCCGCGUGAGUGAUGAAGGCCUUCGGGUCGUAAAGCUCUGUCGUAUGGGACUAACACAAUGAAGGUACCAUGCAAGAAAGGAUCGGCUAACUUCGUGCCAGCAGCCGCGGUAAGACGAGGGAUCCUAGCGUUGUUCGGAAUUAUUGGGCGUAAAGCGGGUGUAGGCGGAUCUAUAAGUCAGGUGUGAAAUCCCAGGGCUCAACCCUGGAAGUGCACUUGAUACUGCAGAUCUUGAGUGUGGUAGAGGUUACUGGAAUUCCUGGUGUAGUGGUAAAAUACGUAGAUAUCAGGAGGAAUACCGGAGGCGAAGGCGAGUAACUGGGCCAACACUGACGCUGAGACCCGAAAGCGUGGGGAUCAAACA